RNAcentral lists this ribosomal RNA (497 nucleotides) under uncultured bacterium. RNAcentral's name for it is "partial 16S ribosomal RNA". It matches the Rfam family "Bacterial small subunit ribosomal RNA", at positions 28 to 507 of the family's 1533-position model. The record is from RNAcentral.
GAUGAACGCUGGCGGCGUGCCUAAUACAUGCAAGUCGAGCGAACGGACGAGAAGCUUGCUUCUCUGAUGUUAGCGGCGGACGGGUGAGUAACACGUGGAUAACCUACCUAUAAGACUGGGAUAACUUCGGGAAGCCGGAGCUAAUACCGGAUAAUAUUUUGAACCGCAUGGUUCAAAAGUGAAAGACGGUCUUGCUGUCACUUAUAGAUGGAUCCGCGCUGCAUUAGCUAGUUGGUAAGGUAACGGCUUACCAAGGCAACGAUGCAUAGCCGACCUGAGAGGGUGAUCGGCCACACUGGAACUGAGACACGGUCCAGACUCCUACGGGAGGCAGCAGUAGGGAAUCUUCCGCAAUGGGCGAAAGCCUGACGGAGCAACGCCGCGUGAGUGAUGAAGGUCUUCGGAUCGUAAAACUCUGUUAUUAGGGAAGAACAUAUGUGUAAGUAACUGUGCACAUCUUGACGGUACCUAAUCAGAAAGCCGCGGCUAACUACGUG